Molecule: small nuclear RNA, 79 nt
Filed under: Homo sapiens (human)
Lineage: Eukaryota; Metazoa; Chordata; Mammalia; Primates; Hominidae
Description: partial ncRNA
Source: RNAcentral
AGAGAAUGGCGUGAACCCAGGAGGUGGAGCUUGCAGUGAGACAAGAUCAUGUCACUGCACCCCAGCCUGGGCGACAGAG